GAUGAACGCUGGCGGCGUGCCUAAUACAUGCAAGUCGAGCGAACGGACGAGAAGCUUGCUUUUCUGAUGUUAGCGGCGGACGGGUGAGUAACACGUGGAUAACCUACCUAUAAGACUGGGAUAAAUUCGGGAAACCGGAGCUAAUACCGGAUAAUAUUUUGAACCGCAUGGUUCAAAAGUGAAAGACGGUCUUGCUGUCACUUAUAGAUGGAUCCGCGCUGCAUUAGCUAGUUGGUAAGGUAACGGCUUACCAAGGCAACGAUGCAUAGCCGACCUGAGAGGGUGAUCGGCCACACUGGAACUGAGACACGGUCCAGACUCCUACGGGAGGCAGCAGUAGGGAAUCUUCCGCAAGGGGCGAAAGCCUGACGGAGCAACGCCGCGUGAGUGAUGAAGGUCUUCGGAUCGUAAAACUCUGUUAUUAGGGAAGAACAUAUGUGUAAGUAACUGUGCACAUCUUGACGGUACCUAAUCAGAAAGCCACGGCUAACUACGUG
Molecule: ribosomal RNA, 497 nt
Filed under: uncultured bacterium
Lineage: Bacteria
Description: partial 16S ribosomal RNA
Rfam family: Bacterial small subunit ribosomal RNA
Source: RNAcentral